This 233-nucleotide ribosomal RNA is filed under the name uncultured bacterium. Its description in RNAcentral is "partial 16S ribosomal RNA". It matches the Rfam family "Bacterial small subunit ribosomal RNA", at positions 104 to 334 of the family's 1533-position model. The record is from RNAcentral.
CGGGGUGAGUAACGCGUGAGCAAUCUGCCUUUAGGAGGGGGAUAACAGUCGGAAACGGCUGCUAAUACCGCAUAAUACGUUUGGGAGGCAUCUCUUGAACGUCAAAGAUUUUAUCGCCUUUAGAUGAGCUCGCGUCUGAUUAGCUGGUUGGCGGGGUAACGGCCCACCAAGGCGACGAUCAGUAGCCGGACUGAGAGGUUGAACGGCCACAUUGGGACUGAGACACGGCCCAG